GAUGAACGCUGGCGGCGUGCCUGAUACAUGCAAGUCGAGCGAACGGACGAGAAGCUUGCUUCUCUGAUGCUAGCGGCGGACGGGUGAGUAACACGUGGAUAACCUACCUAUAAGACUGGGAUAACUUCGGGAAACCGGAGCUAAUACCGGAUGAUAUUUUGAACCGCAUGGUUCAAAAGUGAAAGACGGUCUUGCUGUCACUUAUAGAUGGAUCCGCGCUGCAUUAGCUAGUUGGUAAGGUAACGGCUUACCAAGGCAACGAUGCAUAGCCGACCUGAGAGGGUGAUCGGCCACACUGGAACUGAGACACGGUCCAGACUCCUACGGGAGGCAGCAGUAGGGAAUCUUCCGCAAUGGGCGAAAGCCUGACGGAGCAACGCCGCGUGAGUGAUGAAGGUCUUCGGAUCGUAAAACUCUGUUAUUAGGGAAGAACAUAUGUGUAAGUAACUGUGCACAUCUUGACGGUACCUAAUCAGAAAGCCACGGCUAACUACGUG
Molecule: ribosomal RNA, 497 nt
Filed under: uncultured bacterium
Lineage: Bacteria
Description: partial 16S ribosomal RNA
Rfam family: Bacterial small subunit ribosomal RNA
Source: RNAcentral